GGUCUGGUGGUGUAGUUGGUUAUCACGUCAGUCUAACAGCUCGAGGUCGUUUCACGAUGGCCUCACUGCACACUGAAGGUCUCCGGUUUAAGUCCGGGCUAGAUCA
This 106-nucleotide transfer RNA is filed under the name Colletotrichum caudatum. RNAcentral's name for it is "tRNA-Val". Lineage: Eukaryota; Fungi; Ascomycota; Sordariomycetes; Glomerellales; Glomerellaceae. The record is from RNAcentral.